GGUCUGUGGGCUGGGGAAGGGCUGCUGGGUGGUACCAGCCAGCCUCACCCGUGCCCGAGAGC
Molecule: microRNA precursor, 62 nt
Organism: Catharus ustulatus (Swainson's thrush)
Lineage: Eukaryota; Metazoa; Chordata; Aves; Passeriformes; Turdidae
Source: Ensembl